CAGAGGGGGCAAGCGUUAUUCGGAAUUAUUGGGCGUAAAGGGCGCGUAGGCGGCUUAGCAAGUGACGGGUGAAAGCCCUCGGCUUAACCGAGGAACUGCCUGUCAGACUGCAUGGCUUGAGACCAGGAGAGGUGAGUGGAAUUCCCAGUGUAGCGGUGAAAUGCGUAGAUAUUGGGAGGAACACCAGUGGCGAAGGCGGCUCACUGGACUGGUACUGACGCUGAGGCGCGAAAGCGUGGGGAGCAAACAGGAUUAGAUACCCUGGUAGUCCACGCCGUAAACGAUGAGUGCUUGGUGUAGCGGGUAUCGACCCCUGCUGUGCCGAAGUCAACACAUUAAGCACUCCGCCUGGGGAGUACGGUCGCAAGACUG
RNAcentral lists this ribosomal RNA (372 nucleotides) under uncultured organism. RNAcentral's name for it is "bacterial SSU rRNA". It matches the Rfam family "Bacterial small subunit ribosomal RNA", at positions 526 to 896 of the family's 1533-position model. The record is from RNAcentral.